AUACGUAGGUGGCAAGCGUUGUCCGGAAUUAUUGGGCGUAAAGCGCAUGUAGGCGGUGCCUUAAGUCUGUCGUGAAACUGCGGGGCCUAACCCCGUAUGGCGAUGGAAACUGUGGCACUUGAGUGCAGGAGAGGAAAGGGGAACUCCCAGUGUAGCGGUGAAAUGCGUAGAUAUUGGGAAGAACACCGGUGGCGAAGGCGCGUUUCUGGCCUGUGUAUGACUCUGAGAGGGGAAAGCCAGGGUAGCGAACGGGAUUAGAUACCCCGGUAGGCCUGGCCGUAAACGAUGGGUACUAGGUGUGGGAGGUAGCGACCCCUUCCGUGCCGGAGUUAACGCAAUAAGUACCCCGCCUGGGGAGUACGGCCGCAAGGCUUAAACUCAAAUGAAUUGACGGGG
RNAcentral lists this ribosomal RNA (396 nucleotides) under uncultured bacterium. Its description in RNAcentral is "partial 16S ribosomal RNA". It matches the Rfam family "Bacterial small subunit ribosomal RNA", at positions 523 to 918 of the family's 1533-position model. The record is from RNAcentral.